AGCUCCCCAUGCAGGGACAGGACAGAAGCCUCCCAUAAGGAUGGUAAAACAUCAAACAUCUGGGCAUCCCCAGGCAACAUAUUUGCAGACGGCCAAUUCGUUCACACCAGAAGCAACUUGCAGUUUCUCAAGUCGCUCCUGACACACAAAAAAACAUGUAAAAAGAAAAGGUAAGAGCAUAGAGGUAACAGAAGGUGUGCGAUUGAACUAUAUUUAUAGCCCUUUUCUAUGCCAAGCAUAAAGCACACUCUGAAUAUACAAAUUGUGGUCAGUUUGAGAUCCUUUAUAAACUGAACCUUGUUGUAUUUUUGUGCACCACCUUGCACACAAUGGAUUCCUUGGUUGUAAUUCUUUUGCUCUUUUCUAUGCUUAAACCAGGAUCACCCUCUGAAAUACAAUUGACUCAAUCUGAUGGAGAAACAUUGAAACCUGGAGAAUCCCUCAAGCUGACUUGUGUUGUCUCUGGUGGCUAUCAAUGGCACUGGGCACGACUAUCUUUAGGAAAGCGACUGGAAUGGUUAGGGAGGGGAUACUUCAGCGGCUCCACUUGGAGAACUGAUUAUGGCUCAGCUUUCAGGAGCAGGAUCUCCAUUACCUUUGAUACCUCCAGAAAUGAAUAUUAUCUGCAGCUGAGUUCCAUGACAACUGCAGAUUCAGGCACCUAUUACUGUGGAAGUGGCACAGUGACACAGCGUACAUCCAUCUUCUUUACAAAAAGGGAGAAAUGUGAUUCUCAUAGAUAGAGUGAGGCUCAUCUCUAUGUAUCUGCUCCAGACCACAGAUCAGGGUUGCAAGCAGAUCCAAAUUGAAAUACAUUUUAAUAAUAAAUUACAUUAUAUAUCA
This is a long non-coding RNA of Anolis carolinensis (green anole), 843 nucleotides long. RefSeq lists it as uncharacterized. The record is from RefSeq and is a predicted model, not a curated record. The transcript has 2 exons. NCBI's taxonomy places the organism in Eukaryota, Metazoa, Chordata, Lepidosauria, Squamata, Anolidae.